Regulatory RNA element from Lacimicrobium alkaliphilum, 106 nucleotides. It matches the Rfam family "Alpha operon ribosome binding site". Rfam says of the family: The bacterial alpha operon ribosome binding site is surrounded by this complex pseudoknotted structure. Translation of the mRNA produces 4 ribosomal protein products, one of which (S4) acts as a translational repressor by binding to the nested pseudoknot region. Lineage: Bacteria; Pseudomonadati; Pseudomonadota; Gammaproteobacteria; Alteromonadales; Alteromonadaceae. The record is from Rfam.
CAAUUUUGUCGUCGGAUAAGUAUCCUAGCGGGCUUUUUAGGCUGAUGACAUAUUAACUAGAGGAGUGCUGUUAGUGGCCCGUAUCGCUGGCAUUAACAUCCCUGAA